GAGAUGUAGUUCAGUGGUAAAGUGCUUGCCUAGGAUGUAUGAGGCCCUAGGUUCUAUCCCUAGCACUCCCC
Molecule: transfer RNA, 71 nt
Filed under: Marmota monax (woodchuck)
Lineage: Eukaryota; Metazoa; Chordata; Mammalia; Rodentia; Sciuridae
Description: tRNA.Pro
Source: RNAcentral